Ribosomal RNA from Clostridium magnum DSM 2767, 2145 nucleotides. It matches the Rfam family "Bacterial large subunit ribosomal RNA", at positions 1 to 2169 of the family's 2925-position model. The record is from Rfam. Lineage: Bacteria; Bacillati; Bacillota; Clostridia; Eubacteriales; Clostridiaceae.
GGUCAAGCUACAAAGGGCGCAUGGUGAAUGCCUUGGCACCAGAAGCCGAAGAAGGACGCGAUAAGCUGCGAUAAGCUUUGGGUAGGCGCAAAUAGCCAGUGAUCCAGAGAUUUCCGAAUGGGGCAACCCACAUUACUAACGUAAUGUACUGUAAACUGAAUUCAUAGGUUUAUAGAGGUAUACCCGGGGAACUGAAACAUCUAAGUACCCGGAGGAAGAGAAAGAAAAAUCGAUUUUCUAAGUAGCGGCGAGCGAAAAGGAAAGAGCCCAAACCAGGAACUUGUUCCUGGGGUUGCGGAUAGACCAUAAAUACUGCAAUUUUUUAACUGAAGAGAGCUGGAAGGCUCCGCCGUAGAAGGUAAAAGCCCUGUAAGUGAAAAAAAAGAGCAGUCAGGUCUAAUCCAGAGUACCACGAGACACGUGAAACCUUGUGGGAAGCAGGGAGGACCACCUCCCAAGGCUAAAUACUAACUGGUGACCGAUAGUGAAGCAGUACCGUGAGGGAAAGGUGAAAAGAACCCCGGAAGGGGAGUGAAAUAGAACCUGAAACCGUGUGUCCACAAUCAGUCGAAGCACUUUUAUGUGCGACGGCGUGCUUUUUGUAGAACGAGCCAGCGAGUUACGAUGUGUAGCAAGGUUAAAUACUUAAGGUAUGGAGCCGAAGGGAAACCGAGUCUGAAUAGGGCGAAAAGUUGCAUGUCGUAGACCCGAAACCGGGUGACCUAUCCAUGGACAGGUUGAAGCGGAAGUAAAAUUCCGUGGAGGACCGAACCACGUUGGUGUUGAAAAACCAUGGGAUGAGCUGUGGAUAGCGGAGAAAUUCCAAUCGAACUCGGAGAUAGCUGGUUCUCCUCGAAAUAGCUUUAGGGCUAGCGUUUUGAAUGAGUAAUGGAGGUAGAGCACUGAAUGGGCUAGGGGCUGACAACAGUUACUGAACCCUAUCAAACUCCGAAUGCCAUAUACUUGAAUCAAAGCAGUCAGACUACGAAUGAUAAGAUCCGUGGUCAAAAGGGAAACAGCCCAGACCAUCAGCUAAGGUCCCAAAGUGUAAGUUAAGUGGAAAAGGAUGUGGGAUUUCUAAGACAACUAGGAUGUUGGCUUAGAAGCAGCCACUCAUUUAAAGAGUGCGUAAUAGCUCACUAGUCGAGAGAUCCUGCGCCGAAGAUGUCCGGGGCUAAAACUUACCACCGAAGCUAUGGAUUGAUACGUAAGUAUCAGUGGUAGAGGAGCUUCCUGUAUGGGUUGAAGUCGUACCGAAAGGAGCGGUGGACUGUACAGGAGUGAGUAUGCUGGCAUAAGUAGCGAGAAAUAAGUGAGAAUCUUAUUGGUCGAAAACCUAAGGUUUCCUGAGGAAGGCUCGUCCGCUCAGGGUUAGUCGGGGCCUAAGCCGAGGCCGAAAGGCGUAGGUGAUGGACAAUCGGUUGAUAUUCCGAUACCGCCAACUGACGUUAUUACAAAUGGGAUGACGCAGGAGGAUAAGAUUUGCGCACUAUUGGAUGUGCGUCUAAGCGUUUAGGUAUACAGGAUAGGCAAAUCCGCCUGUAAUUAGCUGAGACGUGAUGGGGAGCCCUUAUGGGCGAAGUAUCUGAUUCCACGCUGCCAAGAAAAGUCUCUAUGGAGGAUGUUGGCGCCCGUACCGCAAACCGACACAGGUAGGUGAGGAGAGAAUCCUAAGACCAGCGGAAGAAUUGUUGUCAAGGAACUCGGCAAAUUGACCCCGUAACUUCGGGAGAAGGGGUGCCUACGCAAGUAGGUCGCAGAGAAUAGGCCCAAGCAACUGUUUUAGCAAAAACACAGUCUCUGCUAAAGCGAAAGCUGAAGUAUAGGGCUGACGCCUGCCCGGUGCUGGAAGGUUAAGGGGAAUACUUAGCGCAAGCGAAGGUAUGAACUUAAGCCCCAGUAAACGGCGGCCGUAACUAUAACGGUCCUAAGGUAGCGAAAUUCCUUGUCGGGUAAGUUCCGACCCGCACGAAUGGCGUAAUGAUUUGGGCACUGUCUCGACAACAAAUCCGGCGAAAUUGUAUUGCGAGUGAAGAUGCUCGCUACCCGCGAUUGGACGGAAAGACCCCGUAGAGCUUUACUGUAGCUAGCAUUGAAUUUCGGUAUUGUCUGUACAGGAUAGGUGGGAGACUGAGAAACAAGGGC